This is a non-coding RNA of Megalopta genalis, 1078 nucleotides long. Lineage: Eukaryota; Metazoa; Arthropoda; Insecta; Hymenoptera; Halictidae. The record is from RefSeq and is a predicted model, not a curated record.
UCCAGCAUCUCUGCAUUACGAGAGUGUACUCGUUACCGCGAGUUACAGCUCAAACUUCUCUUUGAAAAUACAACAAAUAAAAACUGUUCGUAUGUCCAGCGAAGUCUAAUCGCCGAUUUAGUUCGAUCGUAGUGCCGGAGUACCCGGAAGAACGGCAGACGUGCUCGUAAUUGGUCUGUUCAAAAAAGUGUGAAGUUCGAAAGCGGGCGAAUAACGAGUUCAUCAAGCACAUGUCGCAACAAUUGGCCAUCGGACCUUUUAGCAUGAAAGUUAGUUAGUGUCUUGCCCCGUGCUUGGUUACCCGUGCGUACAUACAACGAAUCUGGUCGUUUCGUGAACAGUGGUGUUUACACUAUAAAUAACUACUAAAUAAAUAAAUACUAAUAACUACACGAUAAAUAAAUUGAUUAUUGCGUUCUUCGUCGAUCUUUAAUCCGUGUAGCUAACUAUAGUAGCUUACAAUGAAGAUUCUGUUCGCAUUCUUAUUGCUGAUCGUCACCGUGACCGCGGCUCCAUGGAUCGAGAUUCUGUUCGGCGAUCAGUCCGGUUACAAUUAUCGUCCGCCGAAUCAGGGGAAGCAAGAGUUCAAACGAAGACAGGGAAAAGGUGGAAAAGAACGAUGGAAGGAGAUCUGCAGAACGAUCAAUCCUGAUCCUUUUGCAUUCACGGGCAGAGGGUCCUAUCCCGUCGCGCCAAUCUGUCCCUGGUAACGAUCCGAAGUGAUCAAACCAUCGCAGAGUCGGGACACCGUGGACGACGGAAGCGAGAACAAUCAUUUCCAAACUUGUAUCAAGCCGUCCGUGCUGCCAGUCAGAAUACAGGUGUUCGACAUAGAUACGGCAGAGAUCGUGUCGUGGUGGCCCGACGGUGGCGUUUCUGGACCCUGGCCACCUUCUUCCGAGUUUCUUGUUCGAACGCUGCUGCCUCCCACGGACGACGACGGCGCGGGCCCAUCGUUGGCUAAGACUUCUUGCACGACGUUUGUUCCAUCUAUCAACCGUUGCCUGGGAAAUAUAAACCACGGGAAUGUAUAUACAAAUGUAUAUAAGAAUUUUUAAAUAAAUACUGCUAAAUAGAG